GUCUAUGGUCAUGCUACCCUGAACAAGCUUGAUCCCGUCUGAUCUCAGAAGCUAAGCAGGAUCGGGCCUUAAUAGUACUUGGAUGGAAGACCACCUCGGAAGACCAGGCGCUGUAGGCA
This 119-nucleotide ribosomal RNA is filed under the name Pteropus alecto (black flying fox). Lineage: Eukaryota; Metazoa; Chordata; Mammalia; Chiroptera; Pteropodidae. The record is from RNAcentral.